This 956-nucleotide ribosomal RNA is filed under the name Klebsiella pneumoniae. Its description in RNAcentral is "bacterial SSU rRNA". It matches the Rfam family "Bacterial small subunit ribosomal RNA", at positions 67 to 1008 of the family's 1533-position model. Lineage: Bacteria; Pseudomonadati; Pseudomonadota; Gammaproteobacteria; Enterobacterales; Enterobacteriaceae. The record is from RNAcentral.
UGGAACAGAAAGAAACUUGCUCUCGGGUGACGAGCGGCGGACGGGUGAGUAAUGUCUGGGAAACUGCCUGAUGGAGGGGGAUAACUACUGGAAACGGUAGCUAAUACCGCAUAAUGUCGCAAGACCAAAGUGGGGGACCUUCGGGCCUCAUGCCAUCAGAUGUGCCCAGAUGGGAUUAGCUAGUAGGUGGGGUAACGGCUCACCUAGGCGACGAUCCCUAGCUGGUCUGAGAGGAUGACCAGCCACACUGGAACUGAGACACGGUCCAGACUCCUACGGGAGGCAGCAGUGGGGAAUAUUGCACAAUGGGCGCAAGCCUGAUGCAGCCAUGCCGCGUGUGUGAAGAAGGCCUUCGGGUUGUAAAGCACUUUCAGCGGGGAGGAAGGCGAUAAGGUUAAUAACCUUGUCGAUUGACGUUACCCGCAGAAGAAGCACCGGCUAACUCCGUGCCAGCAGCCGCGGUAAUACGGAGGGUGCAAGCGUUAAUCGGAAUUACUGGGCGUAAAGCGCACGCAGGCGGUCUGUCAAGUCGGAUGUGAAAUCCCCGGGCUCAACCUGGGAACUGCAUUCGAAACUGGCAGGCUAGAGUCUUGUAGAGGGGGGUAGAAUUCCAGGUGUAGCGGUGAAAUGCGUAGAGAUCUGGAGGAAUACCGGUGGCGAAGGCGGCCCCCUGGACAAAGACUGACGCUCAGGUGCGAAAGCGUGGGGAGCAAACAGGAUUAGAUACCCUGGUAGUCCACGCCGUAAACGAUGUCGAUUUGGAGGUUGUGCCCUUGAGGCGUGGCUUCCGGAGCUAACGCGUUAAAUCGACCGCCUGGGGAGUACGGCCGCAAGUUAAAACUCAAAUGAAUUGACAGGGGGCCCGCACAAGCGGUGGAGCAUGUGGAUUAGUUCCUAUGCCAACGCGGAAGCACCUUUACCUGGUCUUUUGACCAUGCGCCCACCAGGAAAAAACU